GACUUCUACUGCGGCUGCGCAAGCUGGACGCGCGCAGUCUUGUCUGCUUACGAGGGCUCCUCCCUUCAUCUUUGGUCCCUCGGGGCGUCUGGGCAGCCUACGCUUUCCGGAUAAAAAUGGCAGAAUGAAAGAAUUAUGAGUGGGACUAGAGAAUAGGAAAGACACGAACCAACGCCCAAAAUGAGAAAGAAGGACAUAUAAAGAAAAAGACAAAUACAAGUGAAAAAAAUAGACUAAUGGAUUAACAUCCCUGUUGUGUGACAUUUUCUUGUAUGACAGCUGAAGAUGUUGAACCCUAUGGUGCAUUUUUGCAAAUAGUCUAUGAAGUGGGAUGUAAGUUUUACCAGUAAUUGUCUAUAGAUACAAAAAGGAGCCAACCUCUUUUUUUUCUCCUUUUAGUGUGAUGUUCCUUGUUCUAUCUUCGAACUCUCAAAGGUAGCCUUUACGCAGAUGUUCAGUUAAACUAAUUCUACCAGUGUCAUAUGUCUACCAAUCUCAUUACUUCCCUUGUAUGUACUUCUAGAGCAAAGAGCUCAUUACAGUAAGAAUGAUGGUAAAUUUUACUGAGGCAAACAAAGAUUUCUGAACACGAGCAGUGUGUGAAACGCUUAUGCACUAGCUGAUAGCAUAACUCUGGUCAAAGAAAUUUGGUCACUUAAAUAUUAU
Molecule: small RNA, 666 nt
Filed under: Pongo abelii (Sumatran orangutan)
Lineage: Eukaryota; Metazoa; Chordata; Mammalia; Primates; Hominidae
Description: retained intron
Rfam family: TTC28 antisense RNA 1 conserved region 2 (bases 114-270)
Source: RNAcentral